RNAcentral lists this transfer RNA (72 nucleotides) under Insectozyma prachuapensis. RNAcentral describes it as "Candida prachuapensis tRNA-Glu". It matches the Rfam family "tRNA". From Rfam's summary of the family: Transfer RNA (tRNA) molecules are approximately 80 nucleotides in length. Lineage: Eukaryota; Fungi; Ascomycota; Pichiomycetes; Serinales; Debaryomycetaceae. The record is from RNAcentral.
GAUCCUAUGAUCUAAUGGUUAUGAUAUAACUCCUUCACAGUUAUUGUACGAGUUCAAUUCUCGUUAGGAUUA